AUGAAGGGGUGCACAUCAUUGAGCGGGAAGCAGCAGGCAGGACGCCGUGGAGCAGGGGCGUCGUCGUCCUCAAGCCACCCUCUCCCGCUCAAUGGAUGUGACCUCGCCGGUGCCGACAUGACGAAGGACGGCGAGCCUUGGGCGAAAAUCACCGGAGAGGUGCGCUACAUGGAUGUCGAUUUCUGCAAGGGGACUAAAAACCUACCCGAAUUUGACUGGGGUAUACCUCUAUCCUCUCCUGAUGCUGCUUUCAAUGGCACUGACAAAAGUGACCAUUGUUGCCACUUACUGAACCCUGCGAGAAGAGUUUGCUCUGAUGGAUAUGACUAUGGUCGUAGAUUUCUUGUUUGUCCUCGUGAGGGUUAUGAUACAUGUGCUUAUCUGAAGUGGGUGGACAAAGAAUGGCAGGGGAGACCUAGGCAGGUGAUUGGCAAACUUGCUGAAGAGAAUGUGGCUCUUCAGAAAUUUGUGUUUGACAAGGAUGCUGAAAUUAUGAGGCUGAGGGAAGAAAGGAAGGCCAUGAUCAUGAAGCACAAGAAGGAGAUCAGAACUAGGGAUAGGAGGGAAAUUUGGUUAGCCUGUUUGGUCUGCUGCUCUGCACUGUUGUAUGGUGUUGUAGCACUAGUGAUAAGAGGUUUUGUGUAG
RNAcentral lists this ribosomal RNA (645 nucleotides) under Triticum aestivum (bread wheat). Its description in RNAcentral is "partial small subunit ribosomal RNA". Lineage: Eukaryota; Viridiplantae; Streptophyta; Magnoliopsida; Poales; Poaceae. The record is from RNAcentral.